Molecule: long non-coding RNA, 400 nt
Organism: Ziziphus jujuba (common jujube)
Lineage: Eukaryota; Viridiplantae; Streptophyta; Magnoliopsida; Rosales; Rhamnaceae
Exons: 3
Source: RefSeq, a predicted model, not a curated record
AUGAAAACACAAUACACAACAGUGACAGCACUCAACAGAACACAAUCUCAGAUUCUCACAAAACGAAAUUGAAGCCCUAGCAUUCGCGUCGCCAAUCGCCACUCGCAGGCAGCAUCCUCCGGCCAGCCACCACCCGAUUGAACUCCCAAGCAACGCCACCACUCGUCACCCUCCCAAGUCCCAAGCUCUGCAGAAUAUAUUGGAAGAAAGCUACUUCUUCAGUCACCUUCAAGGACCAAACAGCUUGCCUGAAUCACCUGUUGGACAGGCUUCUCAAACUCUCAGCAGUCAGCACUAAUUUGGGCAGUGAAUCUAAUUCCUCUCCAAAUGGUAGAACAGAUGUGGCAGAUAAAAUCAAACAGCCUAUCGUGACUUGCAUAAAUCGAAUAGCAUUCCUUUU